GGUUGUAGCUAAGUGGUAAAGAGUUUGCCUAGCAUGUAUGAGACACUGGGUUCGAUUCUCAGCACCA
Molecule: transfer RNA, 67 nt
Filed under: Marmota monax (woodchuck)
Lineage: Eukaryota; Metazoa; Chordata; Mammalia; Rodentia; Sciuridae
Description: tRNA.Ala
Source: RNAcentral